RNAcentral lists this transfer RNA (85 nucleotides) under Planctomycetales bacterium 10988. It matches the Rfam family "tRNA". From Rfam's summary of the family: Transfer RNA (tRNA) molecules are approximately 80 nucleotides in length. Their secondary structure includes four short double-helical elements and three loops (D, anti-codon, and T loops). The record is from Rfam by way of RNAcentral. Lineage: Bacteria; Pseudomonadati; Planctomycetota; Planctomycetia; Planctomycetales.
GCCGAGGUGGUGGAAUUGGCAGACACAGUGGACUUAAAAUCCACUGGCCCUUAGGGCCGUGCGGGUUCAAGUCCCGCCCUCGGCA